GACGAACGCUGGCGGCGUGCUUAACACAUGCAAGUCGAACGGUAAGGCCCUUCGGGGUACACGAGUGGCGAACGGGUGAGUAACACGUGGGUGAUCUGCCCUGCACUUCGGGAUAAGCCUGGGAAACUGGGUCUAAUACCGGAUAGGACCACUGCCUGCAUGGGUGGUGGUGGAAAGCUUUUGCGGUGUGGGAUGGGCCCGCGGCCUAUCAGCUAGUUGGUGGGGUGAUGGCCUACCAAGGCGACGACGGGUAGCCGGCCUGAGAGGGUGACCGGCCACACUGGGACUGAGAUACGGCCUAGACUCCUACGGGAGGCAGCAGUGGGGAAUAUUGCACAAUGGGCGCAAGCCCGAUGCAGCGACGCCGCGUGAGGGAUGACGGCCUUCGGGUUGUAAACCUCUUUCAGCACCGACGAAGCGCAAGUGACGGUAGGUGCAGAAGAAGGACCGGCCAACUACGUGCCAGCCGCCGCAGUAA
This 478-nucleotide ribosomal RNA is filed under the name uncultured bacterium. RNAcentral describes it as "partial 16S ribosomal RNA". It matches the Rfam family "Bacterial small subunit ribosomal RNA", at positions 28 to 523 of the family's 1533-position model. The record is from RNAcentral.